This 306-nucleotide ribosomal RNA is filed under the name Riolus subviolaceus. RNAcentral's name for it is "partial small subunit ribosomal RNA". The record is from RNAcentral. Lineage: Eukaryota; Metazoa; Arthropoda; Insecta; Coleoptera; Elmidae.
AUUAGUAUUAGUUAUUUUCUUGAAAAUUAAAGAUUUUGGCGGUAUUUUAGUCUAUUCAGAGGAACCUGUUCUGUAAUUGAUAAUCCACGAUUUACUUUACUUAAUUAAUUUGUAUAUCGUCGUUAUUUUGAGUAUUUUAUAAGAAAUUUAAUGUUCAAGUUUUUUUAUUAAAAUUUAAGUCAGAUCAAGGUGCAGUUUAUUUCUAAGAAGGAAUGGGUUACAAUAAAUUUAUUUAAAUGGUUUAGCAGUUGAAAUUUUGUUAAUAAAGUGGGAAAGUAAUAUUUGAAAUGAAAUAAAUAGGAUUGU